UCGGCGUCCGUUGCUCGGUUCCGGGCGUCCGUUCGACCUGCGGGGGACUGUCGUCAGUGCCCGCUGACCGCGGACGUUCGGCGAUCGGGACACCGGGGCGUCGGGCUCGGGGUCGGUGGCGAAUCGGUCGGUCACCUGUCCGACCCGUCUUGUAACACGGGACCAAGGAGUCUAACAUGUGCGCGAGUCCAUUGGGGUGUUACGAAACCUAGAGGCGCAGUGAAAGCAAAGGCCGAUCCUCGCGGUCGGCUCGGGUAGGGAUCCCCCGGUCGUCGGCGGCCGGGGCGCACUACCGGCCCGUCUCGAACACGCCGUUGUUGAGGCGGAGCAAGAGCGUACACGUUGGGACCCGAAAGAUGGUGAACUAUGCCCGAGUAGGACGAAGCCAGAGGAAACUCUGGUCGGAGGUCCGCAGCGAUUCUGACGUGCAAAUCGAUCGUCAAACUUGGGUAUAGGGGGCGAAAGACUAAUCGAACCAUCUAGUAGCUGGUUCCUGCCGAA
Molecule: ribosomal RNA, 501 nt
Filed under: uncultured eukaryote
Lineage: Eukaryota
Description: eukaryotic LSU rRNA
Rfam family: Eukaryotic large subunit ribosomal RNA (bases 162-501)
Source: RNAcentral